AGUAGUAUGGUGUAUCAUGCACACAGGGUUCCUGUACAGUGUAAUUGUGUCGAUCUAGAAAUUAAUCCUGAGGCCCUCGUUCGAUUCGAGGUGCUGCUC
Mycena vulgaris is the source of this 99-nucleotide non-coding RNA. The record is from the annotation of a GenBank genome assembly. NCBI's taxonomy places the organism in Eukaryota, Fungi, Basidiomycota, Agaricomycetes, Agaricales, Mycenaceae.